Molecule: non-coding RNA, 271 nt
Organism: Pelobates cultripes (western spadefoot toad)
Lineage: Eukaryota; Metazoa; Chordata; Amphibia; Anura; Pelobatidae
Source: the annotation of a GenBank genome assembly
GGGGGGGCGAUUCAGUACAGUGUCCUCUGAGUUUUUUGGCUAUUUUAAUAAAAGAGUCAUUAAAGGUUUUUUGUUUAUUAUUUUUUCCUACUUAGCUGUUAAACAAGGACACUUGAGGGCAUUUUGGAACUUAUAUAUAUUAAAUGUUCCUUCUCCCUCUCCCUUUAAUUAGCCCUUUAUACUAGCUAGUUUAAUUUGUGCACUGUUAUUUAAUGUUGUCCAUUUACUAUUUAUGUCAACUGAGAAUCCAUGCCUAAAGUACAGUGUGAGA